This 295-nucleotide long non-coding RNA is filed under the name Bos taurus (domestic cattle). RNAcentral describes it as "long non-coding RNA NONBTAT018812". Lineage: Eukaryota; Metazoa; Chordata; Mammalia; Artiodactyla; Bovidae. The record is from RNAcentral.
GUUCUGUAUCCCAGGUUUGCUAACCACUGAUCUGCUGGUGCCAAGCCUCCUCGGCUUAUGUCCACCUGCACUGUGUCACCUGAAGCUCAUGCCCACCCCCAACCCCGUGGAGGACUCAGCUGGGCUUUACCCACAGCUCAGGCACUGACUUUCUCCAGCUUCCACUACCCCUGUGUACUCCCCAUCACAACAUUGCAGACUUUUCUAUUAUUCACUGCAUUGACACUCCUUAGGAUAGAACCAAAACUUUGUAUCCCUAGUGGCAGAAUUUGUUCAUGUGUUUGGAAGGAGGUAA